Molecule: long non-coding RNA, 578 nt
Organism: Mobula hypostoma (lesser devil ray)
Lineage: Eukaryota; Metazoa; Chordata; Chondrichthyes; Myliobatiformes; Myliobatidae
Exons: 4
Source: RefSeq, a predicted model, not a curated record
ACGCGGAGGCUGAGCGCGGAAAGCAGACCCGUCGUUCCGCAUGCUCGGAGUUUAUGGAGAUAUGCCGGGGCAUGUGAUUAGCGUCUGACACGGGACUUUUAAUCUAAUACGUCGUCGCUUCGGUCGGUAGAAGUCGUGUUCGGAAUUUUUGUUGCUCAUAUAUAUUCAUGAAAUUUCAUUCAGGACUUUGAAUAAUCUGAAAAUGAACCUGUUUCAGGACAACAACCUUGCAGGGGUACUGUGAAGCUGAAGUGAUCCAAUGAUAAUCCAUGCGAUUUUACUUGCAUCAGGAAUGGUCACGGAAGGCACUGGAGUAUCUGCUGGAAUCGUGUGCUUACUUAUGAAUCCGCUGAUGCAAAUGGAAAUUGAUCUGCACUAGCCAGGGAUGCUAAUAUAUCUGACUGCUAGACAACCAAGGAACUGGAUUCGAUUGUGGCCUCUUCUAGUAUGAUUGGAACUAUAAUGAUUGCAUUACAGUUUUUUUCUUGCAUUACUCAAGCCCUCUGAUACCAUUAAAUACUUAAGUUCUAACAUAAUAUCAGCACAGUCUGUCAUAUAUUACACCAGUAUUGUGUUCU